AGUACUAGGCAUCAUCCUGAUCACCGAAGUUAAGCAACGUCGAGCUUGGUUAGUACCUAGAUGGGUGACCACUUGGGAAUACCAGGUGCUGUAAG
Acanthosepion pharaonis is the source of this 95-nucleotide non-coding RNA. The record is from the annotation of a GenBank genome assembly. NCBI's taxonomy places the organism in Eukaryota, Metazoa, Mollusca, Cephalopoda, Sepiida, Sepiidae.